This 508-nucleotide ribosomal RNA is filed under the name uncultured bacterium. Its description in RNAcentral is "partial 16S ribosomal RNA". It matches the Rfam family "Bacterial small subunit ribosomal RNA", at positions 30 to 523 of the family's 1533-position model. The record is from RNAcentral.
AUUGAACGCUGGCGGCAUGCCUUACACAUGCAAGUCGAACGGCAGCGGGGGAGAAGCUUGCUUUUCCUGCCGGCGAGUGGCGAACGGGUGAGUAAUACAUCGGAACGUGCCCUGUAGUGUGGGAUAACUAGUCGAAAGAUUAGCUAAUACCGCAUACGACCUGAGGGUGAAAGUGGGGGACCGCACGGCCUCAUGCUAUAGGAGCGGCCGAUGUCUGAUUAGCUAGUUGGUUGGGAAAAGGCAUACCAAGGGGACGGUCAGUAGCUGGUCUGAGAUGACGAUCAGCCACACUGGGACGGGGACACGGCCCAGACUCCUACGGGAGGCAGCAGUGGAGAAUUUUGGACAAUGGGCGAAAGCCUGAUCCAGCAAUGCCGCGUGUGUGAAGAAGGCCUUCGGGUUGUAAAGCACUUUUGUCCGGAAAGAAAUGGCUCUGGUUAAUACCUGGGGUCGAUGACGGUACCGGAAGAAUAAGGACCGGCUAACUACGUGCCAGCCGCCGCCGUAA